RNAcentral lists this long non-coding RNA (3172 nucleotides) under Mizuhopecten yessoensis (Yesso scallop). Its description in RNAcentral is "uncharacterized LOC110464164". Lineage: Eukaryota; Metazoa; Mollusca; Bivalvia; Pectinida; Pectinidae. The record is from RNAcentral.
UGUCGUUAUAAAGAGUACAGUAUGAUAAUUAUAAAUUUAUAGAGACACGUUGUUACAAAAACGAAGAGAGAAUACCUAUAUCAUUAUAAUGAAGCUGUAAUUGUAUUGUUGGGGUAAUGAAUAAUAGUAAUUUCGUUAUAGAGAGAAUAUGAUAUUUUUGUCGUUAUAUUAACAUAUUGUCACAGAGAUGAAGAUCUAAUUCCUUUAACGUUAUAUUGAAGUCAUUAUGACAUUGCUGUCGUUAUACGUAACGAUAUUGUCGUUAUAGAGAGGUUAUGAAUUUUACGACAUCAAAAGGAUUUUAUUAAAUUGAUUUCGUUUAAAGUUAUUAUAAUGAUGUCGCUAUCAAUUUGUCGGCUUUAAGUAUGUUAUUACAAAUAAUUAUUUUUAAAAAAUUACAGGGUGGAUUCUCUACACAGGAUGAGAUGUGCGAGUCAUUUCUUAUGUACUAUCCUCGUACGCACCUGGACAUCUGAUUUAGUCUGCCCCUGUAUAACACGAUAACUGACAAUGCUGAUCUACUGUUUCCUGUGCUCAAGUCAUGGAACUGGACCGAUCCGGCAGUUAGAGCUAACUUCCGGUCAGCGCUAGACAACUCGCUGUAUGACCAUUACCUCUUGGGAGACACUGACGCAUUUAAUGGAAACAUUACCAAAAUGGAGCACCCAACACAAAACCCGUAUGUAAAACCUCAGGAUACCAGAUGCCAGCAUUAGUCUGUUCCUUUCCCAUGCUUGAUUUUCUGAACUGAAAAAUAGUGAACAAUUGCAAAAGGGACACAUUUUUAAAAUUAUUUGAUUAUAUAGUGAUCUAUAAGUAAUAUAUGUAUUUUGGCGUGUGUGUGUACAUCUAUCAUCAUUUAUAAUAUUCAGAAUAUUCAGCUCCUGGUAAUUUAUGCAAUUGUAAAUAAAGGAAAUACAUUCGUUAUUCAUUUGCCGAAGUAUUUUCAUCAUUUGAACCUUUUCUCAAAAUGUAAAACAGAACCGUACGCGUCAAAUGAUUGUUUUGUAUGUUAUUAUCCUGAUUGAACCUUUCGUUAAGAGAAGGUAACACAUACCAGUGACAGAAGACUAGAUUUAUUUCUUUUGAAAUAACAAGGAUAAAUAUUCACAUCUCAAUUCUACACAAAUCACUUAUCAUUAUGCUGUUUUUACAGAGAAAAAACGUUUCAAUAUUUUAAUUAAUCGAAACUUCUUUGCCUGUAAAUUACAGACAUUUGAUAAUAUCACAGUAUGCUUAUUUAAGGUAUUUGUAAUUAAGAAGAAAUACUGAAUCAUUUAAUGGACACAUGUAUGCUAUCUGGUAUGUUUGAUAUAUGAAAAAUGUUAAAGUUACGGACUAAUUUGUUUGCAAUGUCGAAGGCAAAGUAUACAUCUCACAGCACUAUAUUUAUACAUUGUAAAAAUAACACUUUAUACGUAUAUAAAUAACACUUCGUUGCUGACAUCUCAUAUUGGGUUAAUUCAUAUACGUGAUAAUUCAUCGAAAUUAGAAUCAGGCGAUCAUAAUCAAAGCCAUCUAAAAGUGUCGAACCAAAUGCAUAUAAUAACAAACCUAAACUUUAUCACAACUCACAAGCAAAUGUCCACAAAUACAGGUUGAUAAAGAUGACUAAAAAUUGUAAAUAUCGUAACCAAAUAUGCUCAGAUCGUCUUCUUCGAGAACUACACUUCAUCAAGUAGAUUAACGUGGCCUUUAUUGGAAAAUAUAAAAGUAUAAAUAUCAGAGACACCAAACAGUGGUAUAUAAUAAAUGACGUAACAGUUGUAAAAUGGGUGUAGAGAACACUGUUUUUGCUAACUGGUUUUUAUAUCAAGGAUUGUGUAUUUUUGCCUUUAUUCAGUAACCUCCCCUUAACUUCCGUUUGGAUAUAAUGUAGUAGCACGUUGGAUCCAAGACUCUUCUAUUUACCGAUACCGCAAUUGGUUAGAGCGGUGUUAUAUCAAUCUGAAGUCCAGUGCUGGAAUCUCGGUCUAGCCUUGUUGAUGCUAUUUAAUCUCAAAACACUGCUCUCAAUUUCACUUUGUUUUUGUCGUUUAUGUUUUUCUUAUUAAAGCCGUGCAAGGUAUGUUAUUUUCAGAAAUAUUUUAUCAAAGCAGUAGUCAUGCCAGAAAAACAGCUUCCAACCAUUCGUUACAGUUCUUGGCAUUAGGUGGGGAUCAUUAAAUCACAUAACAAACUAAUUGUCAUAUUUCCGUAAGUAAAAGCAUAAUAAAUAAAAAAUCAGCACGUGGUUGUUGAUCACCAUGUUUUUGUUGUUUAUUUAGUGGUUGUAGUUCACCAAGUGGUUGUUGUUCACCAAGUUGUUGUUGUUCAUCAGUUUGUUGUUGUUCAUUAAGUGUUUGUAGUUCACCAAGUGAUUGAUGUUCAUCAGGUUGUUGUUAUUCAUUAAGUAAUUGUAGUUUACCAAGUUGUUGUUCAUCAGGUUGUUGUUGUUCAUUAAGUGGUUGUAGUUCACCAAGUUGUUGUUGUUCAUCAGGUUGUUGUUGUUCAUUUAGUGGUUGUUGUUCAUUAAGUUGUUGUUGUUCAUUUAGUGGUUGUAGUUCACCAAGUGGUUGAUGUUCAUCAGGUUCUUGUUGUUCAUUUAGUAGUUGUUGUUCAUUAAGUUGUUGUUGUUCAUUUAGUGAUUGUAGUUCACCAAGUUGUUGUUGUUCAUCAGUUUUUUGUUGUUCAUUUAGUAGUUGUAGUUCACCAAGUGGUUGAUGUUCAUCAGGUUGUUGUUGUUCAUCAGGUUGUUGUUAUUCAUUAAGUGGUAGUAGUUCACCAAGUUGUUGUUGUUCAUCAGGUUGUUGUUGUUCAUUUAGUGGUUAUAGUUCACCAAGUUGUUGUUGUUCAUCAGGUUGUUGUUGUUCAUUUAGUGGUUGUAGUUCAACAAGUGGUUGUAGUUCACCAAGUGGUUGUUGUUCAUUAAGUUGUUGUUGUUCAUUUAGUGGUUGUAGUUCACCAAGUGGUUGAUGUUCAUCAGGUUCUUGUUGUUUAUCAGGUUGUUGUUAUUCAUUAAGUGGUAGUGGUUCACCAAGUUGUUGUUGUUCAUCAGGUUGUUGGUGUUCAUUAAGUGGUAGUAGUUCACCAAGUUGUUGUUGUUCAUCAGGUUGUUGUUGUUCAUUUAGUGGUAGUAGUUCACCAAGUUGUUGUUGUUCGUCAAGUUGUUGUUGUACAUUAAGUGGUAGUA